GACGAACGCUGGCGGCGUGCCUAAUACAUGCAAGUGGGACGCAAGGAAACACACUGAGCUUGCACACCGUGUUUUCUUGAGUCGCGAACGGGUGAGUAACGCGUAGGUAACCUGCCUAUUAGCGGGGGAUAACUAUUGGAAACGAUAGCUAAUACCGCAUAAUAUUAAUUAUUGCAUGAUAAUUGAUUGAAAGAUGCAAGCGCAUCACUAGUAGAUGGACCUGCGUUGUAUUAGCUAGUUGGUAAGGUAAGAGCUUACCAAGGCGACGAUACAUAGCCGACCUGAGAGGGUGAUCGGCCACACUGGGACUGAGACACGGCCCAGACUCCUACGGGAGGCAGCAGUAGGGAAUCUUCGGCAAUGGACGAAAGUCUGACCGAGCAACGCCGCGUGAGUGAAGAAGGUUUUCGGAUCGUAAAGCUCUGUUGUAAGUCAAGAACGUGUGUGAGAGUGGAAAGUUCACACAGUGACGGUAGCUUACCAGAAAGGGACGGCUAACUACGUG
This 505-nucleotide ribosomal RNA is filed under the name uncultured bacterium. RNAcentral describes it as "partial 16S ribosomal RNA". It matches the Rfam family "Bacterial small subunit ribosomal RNA", at positions 28 to 507 of the family's 1533-position model. The record is from RNAcentral.